This 301-nucleotide ribosomal RNA is filed under the name uncultured bacterium. RNAcentral's name for it is "partial 16S ribosomal RNA". It matches the Rfam family "Bacterial small subunit ribosomal RNA", at positions 509 to 807 of the family's 1533-position model. The record is from RNAcentral.
CAGCAGCCACGGUAAUACGAAGGGGGCUAGCGUUGCUCGGAAUGACUGGGCGUAAAGGGCGCGUAGGCGGCGAUCAAAGUCAGGCGUGAAAUUCCUGGGCUCAACCUGGGGGCUGCGCUUGAUACUUGGUUGCUUGAGUGGGGAAGAGGGUCGUGGAAUUCCCAGUGUAGAGGUGAAAUUCGUAGAUAUUGGGAAGAACACCGGUGGCGAAGGCGGCGACCUGGUCCUUGACUGACGCUGAGGCGCGAAAGCGUGGGGAGCAAACAGGAUUAGAUACCCCAGUAGUCCCUGUCUCUUAUAC